Saccostrea cuccullata (small rock oyster) is the source of this 299-nucleotide long non-coding RNA. RefSeq lists it as uncharacterized. The transcript has 3 exons. Lineage: Eukaryota; Metazoa; Mollusca; Bivalvia; Ostreida; Ostreidae. The record is from RefSeq and is a predicted model, not a curated record.
CCCUACAGUACUUAAUUUACCCAGGAGUAGACUACUUGUAGAUGAAGGUAGACUGAAGGCCAGACUUAGGCAGGAUGAUUGAACAAAAUCUGCUUGCAGAUGGACUACUGAGCAAAAAAAUUGGACUCUCAGGAGGUGAACAGAUGUUCAGCAAGAAAUUCGCACAUCAAAUGCUGUGAAUUAAACUGAUAUCCCCCCCCCCAAAAAAAAAAGAACAGAGAGACCAAUCAUUAACAGCUUGAGACUUGGUGCACAUAACCUUGCCACAGAAAAGGGGAUUUACCUAUAAGCACUCCCUA